AGAAGUACAAAAUGCAAAAGCCUGGCAGAGUUACGUGCACCAGAACAUUUGUUUGGCUAUCGAAGAAUGUUUUUUUUUAGCAAAUGGUUGCUACUGUGAUAUUUCUGCCUUGCUAGCUAGCCAGUAACUGACUAGUCUAUACUGUUGGAUAAAGACUAGCUAUUUGCGUUUCGUUUUUAUCCGUGAAAGCUGCCAUGUAAAGGCUGGACAGUCCAUAUCCAACUAUCUGUCCACUAGUUAUGUAGCUAGCAAAACGAGUUAGCCUCCGGUGCUGCAAACUCUUGAGAUUCGUCUUUUAUUGUUACUUAAAGUCGAUUAGUCAAUCUAGUUUGUAUUUUGAGGCAAACUCGCUGCUGAAGGCAAAUAAGCUUAACCUUGUUAAGGCUGGCUGGCGUUAGCUUUUUCUUUUAUCUUAAAACGAAACUUAUCCUAUUUCAUUCAAGCUUGUGUUGUUACCGGACCACCACAGGGUGCAAUGCUACCAACGAUAUUACUGGAUGGAAACAAUGCAGCGAAGCCUAGAGUGGGCAAGGGGUACGCUCUUGAAUGUUGCUUCAGCAGACGGCCUGAUAGCUUAAGUGUCCGAGUUCAUCGAGGAGAUUCGCACCUAUGGUCGGCAUGCACAACAAGCCAGUUCCGGUUACCAGGCUCCAUUGACUUGGACUGGAGCAAUGGGGGCUCCUCAUUAUCACAUCACCGGAGAGCAGCUGAGGGGUCUGAUGAUGGAUGGAAGAUAUUCUCCACGUGUUCCACUACACUCAAAACCACAUCUGAGAUACUUUGCAUUAACCUGAGGGCAGCUGCGUCCCAUCAAUGUCGCAGAGGCUGCACAGAAGGUACAGUGUUGCUGCUCUGAAUUCUUGAUGACACAUCGAUGGAAACUACAGACUGAAGAUGGAGGAUAGUCAUCCAUGGUGGCAUUGAUGGUCACAGCUGCCAUGUGUUUCUCCACGCUUCCAGCAACAAGUGCAGCAUUACUAAAUGCUGAGGCCAGACAGUCCGUCCAGGCUUAGAACAGGAUCUGGUAGAAGCUAGAUUUCUGUGAUUGCCACCUUUUGAAUUGGAUAACCAUGGACCAGAACAAGAUAAACAAUAUUUUCCUGCAGUAGUGAAUGUAUGUUACUGCUCGACAUUAAAUUAUAAAACGAGAAGAAGUGAAUGUAGCUUGUUUCAUAACAAGAUGGGUUGAUGGAGUGAUAUGGAGGGGUGAUUGUCAUUGUUUGUUUACUAAUUCUUAAACAUAAACAAUGUAUAUAUUGAA
Molecule: long non-coding RNA, 1261 nt
Organism: Hypomesus transpacificus
Lineage: Eukaryota; Metazoa; Chordata; Actinopteri; Osmeriformes; Osmeridae
Exons: 5
Source: RefSeq, a predicted model, not a curated record